Molecule: non-coding RNA, 367 nt
Organism: Cyanistes caeruleus (blue tit)
Lineage: Eukaryota; Metazoa; Chordata; Aves; Passeriformes; Paridae
Source: RefSeq, a predicted model, not a curated record
CCAGGAGCAGAGCGAGGAAGAGGAGGAGGAAGAGGAAGAAAAGGAAAAAAAAACGUCCAAGGGGAAAAUUGCCAAGGAGGAAGAGGAGGCCGAGAGGAGGAAGAGGAAGAGCAGCAGGAACGACAAAUCCAAAGGGAGGCGAAAGGGAAAACCCGGCAGCGACGAUGAGGAGGCCGAAGGCUCCGAGGAGCCCAAAGGGGGGAAGAACAAAUUUGGAGCCCUGAGAGAUGAGGAGGAGGAGGAGGAAGAGGAGGAGGAGGAAGAGGAAGGAGCCCGGAAGGGAAGCGAGAACGAGCAGGAGGAAGGGGCGGGGCCGAGGGCGGGGCCGGAUCCGCGAAUCAGCAAAAAGGAGAAGAAGAAGAUGAAG